This is a long non-coding RNA of Eptesicus fuscus (big brown bat), 658 nucleotides long. RefSeq lists it as uncharacterized. NCBI's taxonomy places the organism in Eukaryota, Metazoa, Chordata, Mammalia, Chiroptera, Vespertilionidae. The record is from RefSeq and is a predicted model, not a curated record. The transcript has 3 exons.
UCCUUUCUCCUCCCCAGAAAUCAGACUUCCGGGAUAUUAUGUGGCUCAAAGUCUCAAAUUUCUAACAUGUGGUUGAUCUUUCUUGCAUGGACAAUCCAUAUUCAGAGGCACCUCAUUCGCACAAACACAGGUGUGGUCUGAGAGGCCCAUCAUGAAUAACCAAAAUUAUGUACACAAACAGAACAAGACAGGACGAACAGGACAAGCUAAAUAUCACAUGAGAAGUUCAAACAGUCUCUUCUACGUGAUGAGGUCACUGGCAGGAGCUCCCAGAAAUGGACUGAGAGCAUCAGCCAGCCUCCUGAAACCAAGAGAGGGCCACACUCCUAGAACAUCAAGAGCCAAUAAUCAUUUCCAGGCUUCAAACCCUGUUGUAAGCUCUUGAGAAGCUCAUAGACCUUGGUUCUGUGCCCAGAGGUCCCGGAGGACCUGUUGAAGAGAUUUUAUGGGAGGCGCCUGAGAAUUUGGUCAUUACUGACUCCUUUGUCCCAAUUUUCCACCCCUACCUCCCCACGGUCACUUAUGGUGGUAGCAAGGGCAGUCCACUGAAGACAACAUCCCCGGAUGUAGUCACCAGAAUGCAUUUCCUAUUUCCUCCCUCAGCCACUGUCUGAGUGGUGAGCUUAUUUUGUUCAUUGUCGUAUCCAGCCUAGGAGAG